UCGAGAGGCUUCGGCAAUGGGGGAAACCCUGACCGAGCGACGCCGCGUGGAGGAUGAAGGCCCUUGGGUUGUAAACUCCUUUUGUUCGGGAAGAAGUGCGAUCAGGUGAAUAAUCUGGUCGUUUGACGGUACCGGACGAAUAAGGUCCGGCUAACUACGUGCCAGCAGCCGCGGUAAUACGUAGGGACCAAGCGUUGUUCGGAUUUACUGGGCGUAAAGGGCGCGUAGGCGGCAAUUCAAGUCAUCUGUGAAAUCUCCGGGCUUAACUCGGAACGGUCAGAUGAUACUGCUUUGCUAGAGUGCAGAAGGGGCAAUCGGAAUUCUUGGUGUAGCGGUGAAAUGCGUAGAUAUCAAGAGGAACACCUGAGGUGAAGACGGGUUGCUGGGCUGACACUGACGCUGAGGCGCGAAAGCCAGGGGAGCAAACGGGAUUAGAUACCCCUGUAGUCCCUGAGCGGGCUGGCAAGGCGCAU
Molecule: ribosomal RNA, 473 nt
Filed under: uncultured bacterium
Lineage: Bacteria
Description: bacterial SSU rRNA
Rfam family: Bacterial small subunit ribosomal RNA
Source: RNAcentral